Molecule: long non-coding RNA, 3275 nt
Filed under: Salmo salar (Atlantic salmon)
Lineage: Eukaryota; Metazoa; Chordata; Actinopteri; Salmoniformes; Salmonidae
Description: lncRNA (ENSSSAG00000094088.1)
Source: RNAcentral
GUCUGCCGAUGCUGCAAUUUCGCUGUCUCUCUGAAUUCCUGCUACGACUGCCUUGGAUGAUAUAACCUAAGAAGCACAAGCUUUGGGAGGGAGGGCUGGGAGUCUGUCGUCGUCGGAGAGCCUAGCUGGCAGGGGCGUUAAUUAGCCUAGCCUGGCAGCUCCCAUCAUCCCAGUCUCAAAGAGAGACAGCUCCCCUGGCACCCCAAGGAGUGGCCUAGAUGUCAGUGUGGCUCUGUGGGGCUCCUGUGGAAAUGUACUAGUGGGUGUUCUCAACAGAUCAGCCCUGUCUGUCUGUGAGCUGUAGGUGAACCCCGCACGGUUUAAUACCCAAGCCUGACCACAUAACAAAACCUUGGAGUACCUCAGGGCUGAAUGGACACGUCGUUUUGAUUAAGCAACAGGGUAUCCAGUGCACCCAUGACAAAGCUUUCGAUAAGAAAGACAGACCUACAGCCAGGUCCAGAAGGCUAGAUUCUGAGCCAUGGCUGUGGGAGGUGGGCUUCAGAGGAGCACCAGAGCAGCCUAUCAGGAUGCUGGGUGUCACCACACCCAGCUAGAGGUCAGAGGUCAGACCUGAGAGAGAGAACCAGAGAGAGAGGAUGGAGACCAGAGGGCGCAGUACCAGGGCAGGGGUUCUGUUCUGGACCCCUGCUCCUCAACACCCCUCUCCCUCCACCUCCAUAGACUCAGACGUGGACUGGUGGGAUGAGGAUGAGGAGGAAGGUGGGGACAGGAAAGAAGAGGAAGAAGAGGACUUCCACAGCCAGAUGGAUGAGAAUGGGAUUAUAGGACUGGAGAACGCCUUGCAGAAUGUGGGUCUGGGAAAAGAGGAGGAGGAGGGAGAGGAGGAGGGAGUGGAGAAUGGAGAGGAUGAUCUGCCCUGGUACUCUGGAGCCUUGGACCCAGAGGGACCCAGGGAGGGGUUCCUGUCCUCCACUAGGGCAGGUGGGAUUGGGCUGGACCAGAGGUUGGAGCAGGUAGACCCAUUGGAGGAGCUGAGUUAUAACCUGAGUGACCUGCAGAACUCUGAGCCUCUGUCCCAGUCUGAGCCACCUGGAGAGGACACACACACCCUGUCAUUCGAUGUCCUGGAGGCCAAGGACAGUGUGGAGAUCUGGAGUGAGGAUGAGGAGCAGCAGCAAAAGUAUGAAGAGGUGCAGAGCUGGUGGUCCACAGGCAGCGGAUGGAGCAUCUCCCAGAGAGAGACAGACAGCUGGACAUGACAGAGGAUGAAAGGAAAGUGGAGGAGGAUGGAGAGGAGGAGGAGGAGGACAGCGAGCCUCAAGCACACACUGAUAUGAUGUCAUGUCCUGUAAUAGCGGGGGCUGGGUCAUGCUGGGAUCAGGGCCAUAGUGUCAGAGGAGAAGAGAGAGAGGUCAAUGCCAUAAGAAGUUACAGUGCCGACCUACAAAUAGAAGAGACUAGUGAACUCUCUGAGAGUGACAACAGAGGGGGGACACGGUUGGUAGUGAGUGACAACAGAGAGGGGACACGGUUGGUAGAGAGUGACAAUAGAGGAGGGACACGGUUGGUAGAGAGUGACAACAGAGGUGGGACACGGUUGGUAGAGAGUGACAACAGAGGGGGGACAUGGUUGGUAGAGAGUGUCACCUGACAAGCCACGAGCCAUGGCUCGAUCCCCUCAGAAAGGCUGGCAUGCACGCUCACAGUCCCCUCCUCACUGCAGCACCCAGGACAGGAGCCUCCGGACCCACAGGGAGAGUCCCAGCCCCAACCCAGGAGCCAUGACCCUGACAUUGACGAGGGCUGGAGCGGGCCACUGACCUACCCCACCCCAGACUUCUCUGUUAUCACUCUCUAAGGUUGGUAGAGAGUGACAACAGAGGGGUGACACUGUUGGUAGAGAGUGACAACAAAGGGAGGACAUUUUUUUAUUUUAUUUAUUUCACCUUUAUUUAACCAGGUAGGCUAGUUGAGAACAAGUUCUCAUUUGCAACUGCGACCUGGCCAAGAUAAAGCAUAGCAGUUAGACACAUACAACACAGAGUUACACAUGGAAUGAACAAAACAUACAGUCAAUAAUACAGUAGAAAAAAAAAAAGAAAAAAAGUCUAUAUACAGUGAGUGCAAAUUAGGUAAAAAAAAGGGAAUUAAGGCAAUAAAUAGGCCAUGGUGGCAAAAGUAAUUACAAUAUGGCAAUUAAACACUGGAAUGGUAGAUGUGCAAAAGAUGAAUGUGCAAGUAGAGAUACUGGGGUGCAAAAGGAGCAGAAUAAAUAAAUAAAUACAGUAUGGGGAUGAGGUAGAUAGAUGGGCUGUAUACAGAUGGGCUAUGAACAGGUGCAGUGAUCUGUGAGCUGCUCUGACAGCUGGUGCUUAAAGCUAGUGAGGGAGAUGGGAAUCUCCAGCUUCAGAGAUUUUUGCAGUUCGUUCCAGUCAUUGGCAGCAGAGAACUGUAAGGAAAGGCGACCAAAGGAGGAAUUGGCUUUGGGGGUGACCAGUGAGAUAUACCUGCUGGAGCGUGUACUACGAGUUGGUGCUGCUAUGGUGACCAGUGAGCUGAGAUAAGGCGGGGCUUUACCUAGCAGAGACUUGUAGAUAACCUGUAGCCAGUGGGUUUGGCGACGAGUAUGAAGUGAGGGCCAGCCAACGAGAGUGUAUAGGUCGCAAUGGUGGGUAGAGAGUGACAACAGAGGGGUGACUUCUCCAAGGUAGAGCCCAGGGUCCGCUUCCCCAUGAACGGCUUCACCCUCCACCCCCCAAGAGCAAAGGCUCCCCCAGAAAGAGGUCUCUGUCAGUGGAGCCCGCCCUGGUGUUCAAGUCCCCUGCUGACAUAGUGAGAGAGGUGCUGCUGAGCAGUACAGACGGACCCCCUCCCCCCUCAACCCCCAAUGGGCCCCACAGGCCCCUAAACUCCACGGUGCCAGAGGACUUCAGAUGCCCACAACAGGCCAGCACUCUGGUACAGCAGCUGCAGGAGGACUACAACAGGCUGCUGACCAAGUAUGCUGAGGCAGAGAACACUAUUGAUCGGAUGCGUCUGGAAGCCAAGGCAGUCUAUAUAAGACCUGAGCCCUAGGACCAUGCCUCAGGACUACCUGGUAUGAUGACUCCUUGCUGUCCCCAGUCCACCUGGCCGUGCUGCUGCUCCAGUUUCAACUGUUCUGCCUGCGGCUAUGGAACCCUGACCUGUUCACCGGACGUGCUUGUUGCACCCUCGAUAACUACUAUGAUUAUUAUUAUUUGACCAUGCUGGUCAUUUAUGAACAUUUUAACAUUUUAACAUCUUGACUAUGUUCUGUUAUAAUAUCCACC